GUCCUCUAUUGGGUUCCAGGACCCAGGGCAGUCUCUAGUCCCCGGGGGUUGAUCAAGAGGAGAGAGGAGAGGCUGGGCUCCCCUGGCAGGCUGGGGAGAGACAAGCCGCGCUAGAACAGUAAAGCCCAAAUGACCCAAGGAAGCGAUGACUGACUUAUGACAAAGGCAGCCUUCAUUGCACCUGCAAGAUGGAUUUAAGCUCCCAGCAUGUCGAGGGAUGUCAGUGUACUUUGGGGACUUGAUGGAUUUCUGGAACAUCGUAAGAAGUCAAAACAGAGUCAAAACUGAGAGCAGUGGCAAC
Molecule: long non-coding RNA, 301 nt
Filed under: Equus caballus (horse)
Lineage: Eukaryota; Metazoa; Chordata; Mammalia; Perissodactyla; Equidae
Description: lncRNA (ENSECAG00000049833.1)
Source: RNAcentral